RNAcentral lists this ribosomal RNA (28 nucleotides) under Platanus kerrii. RNAcentral also lists the same sequence under 1 other name. The record is from RNAcentral. Lineage: Eukaryota; Viridiplantae; Streptophyta; Magnoliopsida; Proteales; Platanaceae.
CUCCUGGGAAGUCCUUGUGUUGCACCCC